Hordeum vulgare subsp. vulgare (domesticated barley) is the source of this 2460-nucleotide RNA transcript. It is a transcript of the gene named protein MICRORCHIDIA 1-like, with no coding region annotated. The record is from RefSeq and is a predicted model, not a curated record. NCBI's taxonomy places the organism in Eukaryota, Viridiplantae, Streptophyta, Magnoliopsida, Poales, Poaceae. The transcript is spliced from 21 exons.
UUUAUUAGGGCAUCGCGUCCCAUAGCAACGGCUGGGCGGCGGACUCAUCGGCGAAACCUCCCCGGCGAACCGACCUAAACCCUAACCUUCCAAUGCCAGCGGCAAUGGCCGGCGGCGAUGGCGGCAUGGGCAGUGGCCCUCGAUCCCUCGAUUGCCGUAGCUUCUGGAAGGCCGGCGCGUUCGAGGCCCCCUCCGCCGCCGCCCGCGAGUUCUACGACGUGCUGGAGACAGGGGACUUCGACCGCGCGCGGGUGCACCCGAAGUUCCUGCACACCAACGCGACCUCCCACAAGUGGGCGUUCGGAGCUAUAGCUGAACUUCUUGACAAUGCAGUUGAUGAGAUUUGCAAUGGAGCCACAUUCAUAAAAGUGGAUAAAAGCAUCAAUUUAAAAGACAGUAGCCCAAUGCUGGUUUUCCAAGACGAUGGAGGAGGAAUGGAUCCUGAAGGUGUACGGCAAUGCAUAAGUUUAGGAUUCUCAACCAAGAAAUCAAAGACAACCAUUGGCCAGUAUGGAAAUGGCUUUAAGACAAGCACAAUGAGACUUGGUGCUGAUGCAAUUGUUUUUACUCGUGCAAUCCGUGGGAGUAAUGUUACCUUGAGUGUUGGCUUGCUCUCAUACACUUUCUUGAGGAGAACAAUGAAGGAUGACAUAGUUGUCCCUGUGCUCGAUUUUCAAAUCCAAGAUGGCCACAUUGUGCCUUUGGUGUAUGGUUCACAAGGUGAUUGGGAUAGUAGCUUGAAGAUAAUACUUGAUUGGUCCCCCUUUUCUUCAAUGGAAGAACUGCUACAGCAGUUCAAGGAUAUUGAGAGCCAUGGAACUAAGGUGGUGAUAUAUGAUCUAUGGAUGAAUGAUGAUGGCCUUUUAGAACUUGACUUCGAUGAUGACGAUGAGGACAUAUUACUUAGAGAUCAAGCUAAAGCUACUGCGGGGACGACAAAGAUCCAAAAAGAAAUUAUUGAGCAACAUAUAUCCCACAGACUCAGAUUCUCUUUGCGCGCGUAUACUUCCAUCCUUUAUCUUAAGAAAUAUGCGAACUUCCAAAUUAUAUUAAGGGGAAAAGUGGUUGAACAUAUAAGUGUUGCCCAUGAUCUGAAGUUUAAGAAAGUAUUUACUUACAAGCCUCAAGUUACGCAUGAUUCUCAAGUGGUCUCAGUGAAGGUAGAUGUUGGAUUUGCCAAGGAGGCACCAGUUUUGGGCAUUUUUGGGAUGAAUGUCUACCAUAAAAAUCGACUAAUAAUGCCCUUCUGGAAGGUUCUUCAGGAAGGAUCUAGCAGAGGGAGGAGUGUUGUAGGUGUACUUGAGGCAAAUUUUAUUGAACCGGCACAUGACAAACAGGAUUUUGAGAGGACUCCACUAUUCAUUCGUCUGGAAACUAAACUUAGACAAAUUAUCAUUGAGUACUGGAAAAACAACUGUCAUUUGAUAGGUUACCAGCCAAUGAAUCCACAAUUAAAAACACAGUAUAAAGCUGCCAAAGCUCCAGGUGGUCCUGGACAUCAGUUUCAGAAGAAAUCGUCUACUGCUCAGAGGAUUGGAGCACAUUCAUCAAAUUUGCUACCGGAAACAUAUGAUGACACAGCAGUCUUUGGAUUGUCAGCUAAUGGUGCAGGUUCUGGUUUGCAAUUUUCUGGCCGAGCACAAGAAAAAAGUACAAAUUCAGCAGGCUUGGAAGAGGAUCUAGUCAAUAUUGCCUCUGAUGGUGAACUUGAUCCGAAUGUCAUUGAGAAGCUGAGUGAUGAAAACAUUUCUCUGUUCACAAGGCGUGAGGAGCUUAAACAACGAGAUACACAAUUGAAGCAGACGAUUUUGGAGUUGGAGCAUGAACUAGAGGAAACAAAAAGGAAAUGCUCUCAGCUUUCUACUGAGCUGCAGGUGCGGAAGAGCCAGCAGCAGCUCCCAUACAUGUGAAGGAGUUCUGGCAAUUCAUUGAGCAGAAAAGAGUUAUCCAGUUUAUAAAGGGACUAGCCAAACAAAUCGUAUGCUGCUAGCAACCCACCUGUGUUGCACUUCUUUCUACCAUUGUCGUUGAUGGUGGUCACCUUGUCCACCAAUUCAUGACAAACAUGGUCAAUCUUGAGACGAUGAGCUUGAUCAGCUUCAGAAAGAAGAUGAUGAGCUUGAUCAGCUUCAGAAAGAAGAUGAUGUUGGAGCACCAGAGCUCAAAGUUGGAUAUUGCUCGACCCAACUAACAAAUGUUAUUUCAUUAAGGAUGCAGAGCAGUGACCAAGGCCAAUGAAGAAACCACGGCGUGAAGUGUUGACGUUGUUCAUAUUCUUGCUAAUGCUAAACUGGGGCCACGCUUAGGAACCUUAUGUAGUAAACUAACUGUGCGUACCAACAGCAUAUGGUUAUCAGAUGUGUAUAUAUCAUGAUGUCUGGUUGCAACUGCUGUUCCGGGCACGGGAUCAAAGAUGAUUGAAUAAUCAAAAACUAAUCUAGUUAGUCGUAUUAUCAGUAA